Molecule: ribosomal RNA, 425 nt
Filed under: uncultured bacterium
Lineage: Bacteria
Description: partial 16S ribosomal RNA
Rfam family: Bacterial small subunit ribosomal RNA
Source: RNAcentral
GUAGGGAAUAUUGGACAAUGGGCGAAAGCCUGAUCCAGCAAUGCCGCGUGAGUGAUGAAGGCCUUAGGGUUGUAAAGCUCUUUUACCAGGGAUGAUAAUGACAGUACCUGGAGAAUAAGCUCCGGCUAACUCCGUGCCAGCAGCCGCGGUAAUACGGAGGGAGCUAGCGUUGUUCGGAAUUACUGGGCGUAAAGUGCACGUAGGCGGCGAUUUAAGUCAGAGGUGAAAGCCCGGGGCUCAACCCCGGAAUAGCCUUUGAGACUGGAUUGCUAGAAUCCUGGAGAGGUGAGUGGAAUUCCGAGUGUAGAGGUGAAAUUCGUAGAUAUUCGGAAGAACACCAGUGGCGAAGGCGGCUCACUGGACAGGUAUUGACGCUGAGGUGCGAAAGCGUGGGGAGCAAACAGGAUUAGAAACCCGUGUAGUCC